GAUGAACGCUGGCGGCGUGCUUAACACAUGCAAGUCGAACGGAAAGGCUCCUGCUUGCAGGGGUACUCGAGUGGCGAACGGGUGAGUAACACGUGGGUGAUCUGCCCUGCACUUCGGGAUAAGCCUGGGAAACUGGGUCUAAUACCGGAUAGGACCUCAUUCUGGAUGGUGUGGUGGAAAGUUUUUCGGUGUGGGAUGAGCUCGCGGCCUAUCAGCUUGUUGGUGGGGUAAUGGCCUACCAAGGCGUCGACGGGUAGCCGGCCUGAGAGGGUGUACGGCCACAUUGGGACUGAGAUACGGCCCAGACUCCUACGGGAGGCAGCAGUGGGGAAUAUUGCACAAUGGGCGCAAGCCUGAUGCAGCGACGCCGCGUGGGGGAUGACGGCCUUCGGGUUGUAAACUCCUUUCGCUAGGGACGAAGCGCAAGUGACGGUACCUGGUGAAGAAGCACCGGCUAACUACGUG
This 465-nucleotide ribosomal RNA is filed under the name uncultured bacterium. RNAcentral describes it as "partial 16S ribosomal RNA". It matches the Rfam family "Bacterial small subunit ribosomal RNA", at positions 28 to 507 of the family's 1533-position model. The record is from RNAcentral.